RNAcentral lists this unclassified non-coding RNA (338 nucleotides) under soil metagenome. RNAcentral's name for it is "partial contains 5.8S ribosomal RNA, internal transcribed spacer 2, and large subunit ribosomal RNA". The stretch from base 1 to 120 matches the Rfam family "5.8S ribosomal RNA", at positions 35 to 154 of the family's 154-position model. The record is from RNAcentral.
GAUGAAGAACGUAGCGAAAUGCGAUAAGUAAUGUGAAUUGCAAAAUUCAGUGAAUCAUCGAAUCUUUGAACGCACAUUGCGCCCGCCAGUAUUCUGGCGGGCAUGCCUGUCUGAGCGUCAUUUCAACCCUCAAGCAACUUCUGCUUGGUGUUGGGGAUCGGCCGUCAAACGCCGCCCCCGAAAUCUAUUGGCGAUCUCGCUGUAGCUUCCUAUGCGUAGUAGUAACAUCUCGCAUCUGGAGAGCGGCGCGGUCAUGCCGUAAAACACCCAACUUCUCAGGUUGACCUCAGAUCAGGUAGGAAUACCCGCUGAACUUAAGCAUAUCAAUAAGCGGAGGA